AAAUGCCUGCAGGAACAGCACAGAGGCAUUAAGGAAAGAAAACUGAUGUUUCAUGAAAAAUAAUAGAGAUAUGAAAUUGGAAAGACCCCAGAAAGCUCAACCAGCAGUGCCCUCACACAAGAGCCUGGCAGAGUCUUGGCUGGCACCAUGAAGGGCCAAGGGCUGGCAGGUUCUUCCAGUGACACUGAGCUCUACGGAACAGUGUCCCCAGCCGCCCCAAAUGCUCACCCCACAGAAACACUGACUGGCCAUCUUUUCCUGCUCUGGGGUGCCACACCUUCCCCUCCCACAAUCUACAGAGCCUGGCUCAACAUCCAGCACCCUGCCACGCACAAGCCAGUACUGCCAGUACUUUUCUGUGUCUCAGCAAGCAGAAACAAGGACACUGUGAUAAGAAGUACCCAUCUUCUCCAACUGCAUACACAGCUACCCAAAAGGAAGGAAUGGAAGAGAUAAAAAGCUGUUGGAGUUU
Molecule: non-coding RNA, 472 nt
Organism: Taeniopygia guttata (zebra finch)
Lineage: Eukaryota; Metazoa; Chordata; Aves; Passeriformes; Estrildidae
Source: RefSeq, a predicted model, not a curated record